GGCUAACUCCGUGCCAGCAGCCGCGGUAAUACGGAGGGUGCGAGCGUUAAUCGGAAUUACUGGGCGUAAAGCGCAUGCAGGCGGCCUGUUAAGUCAGAUGUGAAAGCCCGGGGCUUAACCUCGGAAUUGCAUUUGAAACUGGCAGGCUAGAGUCUUGUAGAGGGGGGUAGGAAGUUUCAGGUGUAGCGGUGAAAUGCGUAGAGAUCUGAAGGAAUACCAGUGGCGAAGGCGGCCCCCUGGACAAAGACUGACGCUCAGAUGCGAAAGCGUGGGGAGCAAACAGGAUUAGAUACCCUGGUAG
This 301-nucleotide ribosomal RNA is filed under the name uncultured bacterium. RNAcentral describes it as "bacterial SSU rRNA". It matches the Rfam family "Bacterial small subunit ribosomal RNA", at positions 495 to 793 of the family's 1533-position model. The record is from RNAcentral.